GGUAUCUUCUCACAACACAAAAUACUUAUUUACUUCUCCCCAUAUUAACUUUCUAUUUCCUUUUAGGAACACCAACAGUCCAUAACUUCCAUCAUAAGCCAGUAUCUAAAUGCUGUGGCUUUCAAUUUAUAAGGAAUAAGGAUUAUCUUUUACUCAAUUCAAGUGAAUAAAGACAUAAGGAGUUUUGAACCUGAGGAAGUACCUCACAAAAGCCUCCAAAACUGAAUUUGAGUCAGAAAUGUACGACAAUAACAGGGAAAACAUUAAUGAGGGCAGCCUGAAGAGCCCUGCCUGUGUCCAGAAUGCUGAGAUCACCAGGUGAUACUACUCCACCUGCUCUGCCAUUCUGCUUCUCCAGGUGGCCUUGAGGAAGCUUUUAGCAGGAAAACAUGACACAUACAAGGAUAUAAGGUUAUGGUCAGGCGACACCUAAUACAACUUCUGCAUGCAGAUGUUUUUGUCUUUGCCCCUGGGAGCUGCUCACCUGCUUCCAGUGGGAGAGGGUGUGACACCUGAGAGAGCAGGUUCAGGAUCGAGCCCUCUGUUCAUUUCCUGGAUAUGCCUGCUCAUGUCCUCCCACGCCACUGUCUUCUGUGUACACAAGAACCCAAGGCAGCACUUCUUCCCCUCUCCUGCCGCCUCCUUCACAGGCCCCAUUUCAGGCAUAAUACAAAGGAACAGGGCUUCCUGCUUGAAGGUGCUGAUCCAGGGAUCAACAGGACUGAUGACGUUGCUCUCCUCAAGGAGCUGACACUGCAGCGUGAGGGGACAAAUUCAGAGGACAAAUUCCGAUCAGUGUUCCCUCUUCCAGCACACAUUCACUGAGGUCCUAUUGCAUGCUCCAGACAUGGAAGCACGGCAGGGAGUGAAGCAGGCAGAGGUCUCCAUUCUUAUGGGAUGAUAGUCUAGCGGGGGAGACAGAGAAAACAAAAGUAAAACAUAAACAAAGCUAAUUAACCUGAACCCAGGUCAUCAAUCUGUUGAAUUCAGCAAAUUGUAUUCCAGUGAUUCAAUAUGGAAACAGAGGCCUAGCUAAGUGGUGGCUCAUUCUUGGAGACCCAGCUCAGAUGUCACCUUAUGAGGCCCUGCUGGAUCCUUACCACUCCCCCAGACGCUUUUGC
This 1121-nucleotide long non-coding RNA is filed under the name Homo sapiens (human). RNAcentral's name for it is "HSALNT0073950". The record is from RNAcentral. Lineage: Eukaryota; Metazoa; Chordata; Mammalia; Primates; Hominidae.